GGGGGGGGGGGGGGGCGGGCGGGGGGCGGGCGGGGCGAGCGCGGGAGCUCAGCUGGGGGUGGGUGGAUGGGGGGCGAACGGGUGAGUAACACGUGAGUAACCUGCCUCCUUCUUUGGGAUAACGCCCGGAAACGGGUGCUAAUACUGGAUAUUCACUGGUCUUCGCAUGGGGGUUGGUGGAAAGGGGUUUUCUGGUGGGGGAUGGGCUCGCGGCCUAUCGGCUUGGUGGUGGGGUGAUGGCCUACCAAGGCUUUGACGGGUAGCCGGCCUGAGAGGGUGACCGGUCACAUUGGGACUGAGAUACGGCCCAGACUGCUACGGGAGGCAGCAGUGGGGAAUAUUGCACAAUGGGCGCAAGCCUGAUGCAGCGACGCCGCGUGAGGGAUGGAGGCCUUCGGGUUGUGAACCUCUUUCGCUAAUGGUCAAGCCGCAACAAUGGUUGUGGUGAGGGUAGUGGGUAAAGAAGCGCCGGCUAACUACGUG
RNAcentral lists this ribosomal RNA (483 nucleotides) under uncultured bacterium. RNAcentral describes it as "partial 16S ribosomal RNA". It matches the Rfam family "Bacterial small subunit ribosomal RNA", at positions 35 to 507 of the family's 1533-position model. The record is from RNAcentral.